CAGUCGCCGCGGGAAUACGAAGGGGGCUAGCGUUGUUCGGAAUUACUGGGCGUAAAGCGCACGUAGGCGGAUAUUUAAGUCAGGGGUGAAAUCCCGCAGCUCAACUGCGGAACUGCCUUUGAUACUGGGUAUCUUGAGUAUGGAAGAGGUUAGUGGAAUUGCGAGUGUAGAGGUGAAAUUCGUAGAUAUUGGAUGGAACACCGGUGGCGAAAGCGGCUCUCUGGCCCGGAUCUGACGCUGAGGCGCGAAAGCGUGGGGAGCAAACAGGAUUAGAUACCCCAGUAGUCCCUGUCUCUUAUAC
This 301-nucleotide ribosomal RNA is filed under the name uncultured bacterium. RNAcentral describes it as "partial 16S ribosomal RNA". It matches the Rfam family "Bacterial small subunit ribosomal RNA", at positions 509 to 807 of the family's 1533-position model. The record is from RNAcentral.